RNAcentral lists this ribosomal RNA (491 nucleotides) under uncultured bacterium. Its description in RNAcentral is "partial 16S ribosomal RNA". It matches the Rfam family "Bacterial small subunit ribosomal RNA", at positions 29 to 507 of the family's 1533-position model. The record is from RNAcentral.
AGUGAACGCUGGCGGUAGGCCUAACACAUGCAAGUCGAACGGCAGCACAGUAAGAGCUUGCUCUUACGGGUGGCGAGUGGCGGACGGGUGAGGAAUACAUCGGAAUCUACUUUUUCGUGGGGGAUAACGUAGGGAAACUUACGCUAAUACCGCAUACGACCUGCGGGUGAAAGCAGGGGAUCUUCGGACCUUGCGCGAUUGAAUGAGCCGAUGUCGGAUUAGCUAGUUGGCGGGGUAAAGGCCCACCAAGGCGACGAUCCGUAGCUGGUCUGAGAGGAUGACCAGCCACGCUGCACCUUGGACCCGGCCCAGCCCCCUCGGGGAUGCCGCGGUGGGAAUUUUGGACCAUGGGGCGCAACCCUAUCCCAGCCUUCCCGCGUGGGUAAAGAAGGCCUUCGGUUUGUAAAGCCUUUUUUUGGGAAAAAAAAAGCCGCGGGUUAACCCCCCGCUUUUCUGCCGUUCCCCAAAAAAAAACCCCCGCCAACCUUCGG